Molecule: ribosomal RNA, 425 nt
Filed under: uncultured bacterium
Lineage: Bacteria
Description: bacterial SSU rRNA
Rfam family: Bacterial small subunit ribosomal RNA
Source: RNAcentral
UCGAGAAUCUUCGGCAAUGAGCGCAAGCUUGACCGAGCGACGCCGCGUGCGGGAUGAAGGCCUUCGGGUUGUAAACCGCUUUCAGUGGGGAGGAAAUCGCUAGGGGUUCUCCCCUAGUGUUGACCUAUCUUCAGAAGAAGGACGGGCUAAGUUCGUGCCAGCAGCCGCGGUAAUACGAACCGUCCAAACGUUAUUCGGAUUUAUUGGGCUUAAAGGGUACGUAGGCGGCGCUAUCAGUCGGGUGUGAAAUCCCUCGGCUCAACCGAGGAACUGCGCCCGAUACUGUAGUGCUUGAGGGAGACAGAGGUAAGCGGAACUGAUGGUGGAGCUGUGAAAUGCGUUGAUAUCAUCAGGAACACCGGUGGCGAAAGCGGCUUACUGGGUCUCUUCUGACGCUGAGGUACGAAAGCUAGGGGAGCGAACGG